This 3790-nucleotide unclassified non-coding RNA is filed under the name Hevea brasiliensis (rubber tree). Lineage: Eukaryota; Viridiplantae; Streptophyta; Magnoliopsida; Malpighiales; Euphorbiaceae. The record is from RNAcentral.
AUCAUAGAAUUCAAUAGAUCUCAAGGAGAAUUCAUUAGAACGGUAGCGCUCGUUUUCUCUGCCUUGUCGGUCCGAUCGAUUAGGAGAGGCCACUAUCCGGAUCAUGAGAACGAGCUCUGCAGUUUCAUUGCCGCUGCAGCCUCAGAGAAAAAGAGGGUGACAACAAGGAAUACGCUGAUGCUCCUCCCCUUCCUCGCUGAUCUACUGUCGUUAGCCCCAUCCGUCCUCUUGCGCUGCUGUCGAAAUCCAAAGAAGAGAGCAUUUCUUGAUUGAUUCAAGUUAGCUGUCCAAUUUCAGAGAACUCGUUCAUCCUGAGGAUCUUGUUAUGGGCAUCAGUAAAACAGAAGUAAACUUAAGGAGGUUGCUUGCAGCUGCACCUCAGCAACAAAAUAAAGCAAAACUUAUACAUUAUGUCGCUACUUUACGGGAACAAUUGGAACAAUUGGCUGAAGAAAGAAAUCCAGAUGGCUUACCUAGAGUUUCAAAGGCUAAGGUGAAUGAUUAUUCUGAGAAGAUUGAAGCCAUUGCUACCAGAAUAGCUGCACCAUUGGUGUGUUCUAUAACCUAGAAAUUAAAUAUGUUGUAUAUUGUUAAAAUAAUUGGUGUCAUUGUGAAAUUCAGUGAUUUUUCUAAAGUAGUUACGCUAGCUAUAGAUUGAAUUUAUGGAAGUGGAUUUAUAUUAUUUUUACAAAGUUCAAAGAGUAAGUUAUCUUAUUUUAAUUUUUUUCCUUCAAGUACUAAAAAACUAAUGAAAUAUUAUAGCCAUUGCAAUGUGGUUAUCUAGGAAAGUGUAGUUUUUAAUAAUUGUGGUGGACAGUAGAGGAGUUGUGAAAUUAUAUUUGGGUAUUGAAGGAAACAUGGGGCAUCUUGGCUGAUCUCACUUUUGUUGAAGAGAUUUUACACAGGAUCGGAUAUUAUUGUUUGUUGAAAACUUGUCUUUGAGUAAACUUCCUUUUCUCCCCGCUAUGAUGCCCAUCUUGUUGCAUCUGUUGACUUGGUAGAUUGCAACAAAUUAAUUGGCUUAGUUUCUCUCGCUACAUGUCAUCCUUCAUCCAGUUACUUACACCUUUGUUCCAGUGAAAGUGUAGUGGUUGUUCUUAUUGGUUCAGAUAUGGGAUUUGUUUCAUCUAUUAAUGCGUGCUUUUCAAAGUUGAGUUUUUUUAAGUGCUGCAUUGACUGUAAUACAGAUGUAAACAAGUAUGUGAAUUUUAUAAUUUUAAGUUUAAUGUGAAUAGUUUUUCUUAUAAGCUUUGAUUGGAAGUCAUAUGCACAAAUGCCAAUUUCAACUCUACAGUUUUCAUGACCAUAAUGGGCCUUGAAUGGAAAAGUUGCUUUCCAGCAAUCUAGUGCUGAGAAAUUUUGGUAGGACUUGAAGGCUAUUGAGUUUCUCUUUAAUAUGGUCUCAUUCUUUCUAUCUUCAACUUUUCAUGGGAAAAGGUUCCAUUGCAGAUUAUUGGUCAUUGUUGAAACUCAAUCUAACACCUGUGGACAGCUGAAUUGUCCUCAAUGUUCCUGCCUUCUAAUCCAGUAAAUUUCAUUGAGUUCUAAAUUUUUUGUAUUCUGUUUUUUUUUUUUUGGGUCAAUUUGAGGAGAAUCUAACUUGCGUGUAACUGCCUCAUGUGUAUUCCCUUAUGUUUUUUAAAGAACAAUCACUUGUCAAAUUAAUUGGCAUUUUUUUGGGCAUGUCUCUUAGGUGUUGUGAGGGCCUUGUCUUAUGACAAUAUACUGGUGCAAGCACACACAUGCAAUCAUUCAUUUACAUCUGUACAUUCAUCUUGUAAUGUCGCCUCCAUUUGUUUCAUAGCAAAUUAUACGUGUAUUUUGUGGUAAAUGUUAUAAUUGCUAAUUGUCUUUUAUAUGUCUAAUUCUCAGCCUCAUGUUUUGGUAUCUGAAAAGUCUGAUGCUGGGAGUUCUGCAAAAGAAAGUCCUAAAGCAGAUGGAGAAACUCACUUCCCUUCUUCUCCAGGCUUGAGAAGAAGAUUUGUGUAAAUGAAUCUGUAGUUAGAACUUGUGUGAUAUAUGGAAUCUCCCAAUUUGUGGUUUUAUCUUCUCCUUUCUCCCCCUCUUCCAGGUUAUAAUUUGUUUCCUUUUGAAUCAUGUCGCAUAUCAAACAGGUCAUCGUCAAAUAUUGAUGACAGAACUCAUGACCUAAAUCAGGUUCAUACAUCAGCGCCUGUCAAACUGGAUACUGCAGCAAAAGCACACAUUGAGAAGCACAGAAAGCUUCAGGAGGAUUUGACUGAUGAAAUGGUCGGGUUGGCACAGCAACUCAAAGAAAGUAGUCUCAUGAUGAGUCAGUCCCUGCAAAAUACUGAAAAGGUGAUGAUUUUUAUUAUCCUAUGAUGCAUAGUUUCAUGAAUUAACGUUGACAAUUCAUGGGAAAUGCAUUACUGUCUGAGGACAAUGUUCAAUUUUAGUAUUGAUGGGUACAUCUUAUAUUUUCUGGAGGAAGCGUUGCGCAAUUUGGUGCUCCAUUAUUCUUUCAGUUUUGCUCAUGAUUAAUUUUGGUAUGAAAUGUGACUCAAAACAGACAAAAGCUCAAUUUGCCCCUAAACUUUUGUGCAAUGUCCAAUUUGACCCAAGAAUGGUGGAUUUUUUUUUUUUUGAGAGAAACUGGUUUUAUUAUUUCAAUAUUAUACCCUUCCACGUCUUUUUCGCAUUAUGCACUUCCUUCUCCAAUUAGGGAGCAUGAAAAAAAUUUGGCCUGGGUGGAAAUACAUUCCAACUAUAAAGAAAAGAGAAACUCGUUUUCUAUUUUCAUGUUUGCUUCCUAUUGUCCAUCAACUCAUUUUUCUGCCUUCCUUAUAAGGAUGUUUGUAUUCAUUGUAUUUGUUAUUAGUUUGCUUAAACAGAAUCUGAAAGGCAUUCUACAUUGGCUCUGCCUACCUCUUAGGCUGUCCUACAGUCCUACUGCUCAAGUUGUCAUUAUUUGUUGCAUCUCUGCAUCUAUGGCUGUGUAAACCAUGCAUCACCGUCACUACUACAAGUUGUUAAACUGCUGCUGACAAUUACAAAUUUUGGCUUGUGAAAAGUAGUGGUUAAAUUGUACAGUUAUCAUCUGGCCCAUUCUCCUCGUCCCCUUCCCCCCCUCUGUCUCUCUGUGCGAUGUGUUCUCACACACACUCCCUCAUCUCAGCACUCUCAGAAUAAAUAUCUAGCAUCUCAACUAUCCUGAGCUCUUAGCAGAGCAAUCAACAUUGUUGUGCAAGAUGUGCUAUAUGUUUCCUGCUUGAAUUAAUUACACUGCGAGUCCUGUUGGGUUUCUCCUGACUUUUGCUUGUCAUGUGUUGAGUGAUUUCAGUCAUGGACCCUGAUUGUUUGUUUGUGUGCAGAUACUUGAUUCAACAGAGAAGGCUGUUGAGCAGAGCUUGGCUAGCACUGGUCGUGCCAAUGUACGAGCCUUGGAGUUAUACUCAAAAACUUCCAAGACCACAUGCUUCACAUGGCUUGUGAUUUUUCUAAUGACAUGUGUUUUCAUCAUGGUUGUACUCCUAAUUCGUGUCACUUGAGCUGAUCUUCAGUUCUUGGGAUAAGCAAUCUAUUCCCAAGUAGUAGACAUGGUAAUGCUGCUAUCUUUCAAUAUGAUUGUCGCAUUUAACCAUGUCAUAAUGCCUUGUAAAUUUCUGUAGCUCAAGUAGCGAACCGACAAUUUUGCUAACAUGCACCCGAAAAAUAGUAAUGACAAGUAUAUUUGUUGGAUACUGUUUUCUUAAAUCGUGCAACUGUUGAAAUUGGUUCCCAAUUUAUACUGUAAUGAAUGGACAACUAACUCAAUUUAGUUCAACUCAAC